UGGUGUUCCAGUAAAGCCAAUGACUCCC
Molecule: non-coding RNA, 28 nt
Filed under: Mus musculus (house mouse)
Lineage: Eukaryota; Metazoa; Chordata; Mammalia; Rodentia; Muridae
Source: RNAcentral